Molecule: transfer RNA, 73 nt
Filed under: Otus scops
Lineage: Eukaryota; Metazoa; Chordata; Aves; Strigiformes; Strigidae
Also listed under: 1 other name
Description: tRNA-Thr
Rfam family: tRNA
About the family: Transfer RNA (tRNA) molecules are approximately 80 nucleotides in length. Their secondary structure includes four short double-helical elements and three loops (D, anti-codon, and T loops).
Source: RNAcentral
AACUCUAAUAGUUUACUAAAAACAUUGGCCUUGUAAGCCAAAGAAUGAAGAUUACCCCCUUCUUAGAGUUCCC